This 464-nucleotide ribosomal RNA is filed under the name uncultured Pelotomaculum sp. Its description in RNAcentral is "bacterial SSU rRNA". It matches the Rfam family "Bacterial small subunit ribosomal RNA", at positions 919 to 1382 of the family's 1533-position model. The record is from RNAcentral. Lineage: Bacteria; Bacillati; Bacillota; Clostridia; Eubacteriales; Desulfotomaculaceae.
ACCCGCACAAGCGGUGGAACAUGUGGUUAAUUCGACGCAACGCGAAGAACCUUACCAGGGCUUGACAUCCCCUGACCGCGUAUGAAAGUACGUUUUCACCCUCGGGUGACAGGGAGACAGGUGGUGCAUGGUUGUCGUCAGCUCGUGUCGUGAGAUGUUGGGUUAAGUCCCGCAACGAGCGCAACCCCUACGUUUAGUUGCUAACGCGUGAAGGCGAGCACUCUAGACGAACUGCCGUUGACAAAACGGAGGAAGGUGGGAUGACGUCAAAUCAUCAUGCCCCUUAUGUUCUGGGCUACACACGUGCUACAAUGGCCGGUACAGACGGACGCAAAGCCGCGAGGUGGAGCAAAUCCUAAAAAGCCGGUCUCAGUUCGGAUUGCAGGCUGCAAUUCGCCUGCAUGAAGUCGGAAUCGCUAGUAAUCGCAGGUCAGCAUACUGCGGUGAAUACGUUCCCGGGCCUU